RNAcentral lists this ribosomal RNA (392 nucleotides) under uncultured bacterium. Its description in RNAcentral is "bacterial SSU rRNA". It matches the Rfam family "Bacterial small subunit ribosomal RNA", at positions 32 to 415 of the family's 1533-position model. The record is from RNAcentral.
AAUCAACGCUGGCGGCGUGCCUCAGACAUGCAAGUCGAACGAUUAAAGCUCUCUUCGGAGAGUGUAUAGAGUGGCGCACGGGUGAGUAACACGUAAGUAAUCUACCUUUGAGUGGGGAAUAACCCGGGGAAGCCCGAGCUAAUACCGCAUAAUGCAGCGGCACCGCAAGGUGACAGUUGUUAAAGGAGCAAUCCGCUUAAAGAGGAGCUUGCGGCAGAUUAGCAGUUGGUAAGGUAAUGGCUUACCAAGGCUUCGAUCUGUAUCCGGCCUGAGAGGGCGGUCGGACACACUGACACUGAAUAACGGGUCAGACUCCUACGGGAGGCAGCAGUCGGGAAUUUUGGGCAAUGGGCGAAAGCCUGACCCAGCAACGCCGCGUGAAGGAUGAAGUA